RNAcentral lists this long non-coding RNA (3880 nucleotides) under Homo sapiens (human). Its description in RNAcentral is "non-protein coding LINC00656:6". Lineage: Eukaryota; Metazoa; Chordata; Mammalia; Primates; Hominidae. The record is from RNAcentral.
AUUUUACAGAUGACACACUAAGGCGCAAGGCAGCUGCACAUCCACGGCCAGCCUCGUUGUCUUCAGGGAUUUGUUCAAAGUUCAUUCUGAAUUGUAAGGUAACCACUGCAGAACACGAGCCUUUCCUGGGUAUGUGUGGUUAUUUCUGCCCUUCACGGUCCCACUCAAGUCCUGCCUCCCUCAGGGAGACCUCCCAGACCUCACCAAGCCGUGGGCACGUGGACCAGAAGCCGUGGACCCCAGAGGCUCAUUUAGGGAUCUGCUUUCUGAACCCAGGUCCUAACAUCUGCACUGCAGCGAGCAUUUCUGGUGCCUCAAGUGAGUCACUCCAACUUCCAGGAGCCACCAGCCACAGGCAGCCACUGAGCCCUUGGCAUGUAACCCGGUAACCCAUGCAACAGAAGACCUGAGCGUCCAGUGUUGCUAGCUUGAAGUAACUUCAGUGGUGUUCCCCAGCGUUUUUCUCAUCCCCCUCCCUUCCCUUCCCCUACAGCUUUCUUCCUCUUUCCCCUCCUUCUGAGUCUUUCGUCCCCAGUCCUGGGAACCUUUUUUCUGACUUGGUGUUUUCUCCUGAAUGCCUCCUUCCUGGCCCCCUAAUCAGAAAUGCAGAAGCCACCUGCCCCACACAGGGGGCCACUUUCCCUGCAUCUGGCACUCACCAGGACAGUCAUAGAACUGGCCUUGGGUGCUUGGGGAGAGUGGAGAGGUCUGGGGGGCAUCCACUGGCCUCAGCCUCAGAGCUUCUCAUCAGUAACCCAGGAGGCAAAGGCCCAGCUCAAGAUUAGCCCAGGCCACUGUAUCUGUGCCAAGACCUACAGCUGUCCCUGCAGGGCGUGCAUCUCUGCAGCCCAGGCUAUCACAAUGGUGUCCCUUUUGGUGGGGAUGUGAGGCCUGCUGCUGCCUGGGAAGAAGCUGACAGGAUUGUUGGUGCUGUGGGGAGAAGCUGGUGUAACUGAGACCCAUGAGGGAGGCCCUUUGUGGGUCUGUGGCUGGGAGGAGCUCUGGGGAAGAUGGGCCUUGAGAAAUCCCAGCUUAGCACCUUUGACAGUUGCUCCACUGAGUCACCCUAGACUGCAAUCUCACAGAUGUUCUAACCACCCUCUCCCUGGGGAGCCCUUGGGGGUGCUGCAAGCCCAGUCCUCACUCACUGGCUUUGUGCUUCUCUUCCCGACUUCCUUUUUUUGCUCCUGUUGAGAAAUGUGGGUCCAGGGCUGCGUGCUCCAGUGUGCGGAAGGAAGGGCAGCGUGCUCUUUGGACUGAGCUGGCUCAAGGGAAGCUGGGUCUGAGGGGAGACUGACCUCGACCCUUCUUAAAUGAAACACCUUUUCCCUGCGUCUCAGUCACCGUUACCUGGCCUGAUCACUGUGUGCCACACCCCAUCACAUCCAUCCCCACAAGAAUGCCAGGAGGAGGGGUCAUUGGCCUUUUUGUCAGCACAAACCUCUGGAGGCCCAGCUCCCAAGACCCGCCAGGCACACCUGCCAGAGUGCCUUAACUUGGGAUGUCUGCAAACCUCUGUCCAUGGCCGAACCCACCCCACUGCCUGUUACUGUAAAUAAAGGUCUAUUAGCAUGCCACCAUGCCCCUCCUCCGAUGCAUACAGUGCCCAGCUCAGCACCUGGUGCAAGUAAGCACAAUCUGGCUUCCAGCCAUCACUGCUGUUGCUACUAACACAAAUAUUAGGCCCCUUCUAGAAUGCAAAGAUAACCCAGGGCUGCUCGUUCUGUGUCCAGAUCACAGAGUUUUUCUUUUUAUCCUUAUCAACUUUAUUGAGGGAUAAUUUACAGGCAAUAAAUCAUAUCCAUUUAAAGUUAUUGUCAAGCUUUUAAAGAAUUAAAGUUCGUCUUCUUCAGAAGCUUACCGAGGACUACAGGCUGUGGCGUAGAGCCCUGGAGCAGCCUCCACUGAGGUUCUGUAUUUCAGGUCACAGUUGACAUAUAGGUGGGAGGUCCAGUACGUGCAAAGUCACAUGAAAGCUUGGGUGUCAGAGUGCAUCAGGUUAUGGAUUCAAUUACAGAGCAAUAAUCACUGACCCUGUCAGAUGUUAUCUUACGUGUAGGAAAAGGUAAGACCAGGGCCAUUUAUCUGCAAAGAAUAUAGUGACUCAGGCAAGAGUCCGGAGAGGGUGUGUGCUCCAUCCUGUUUUGUCUUCAGAGCAUCUUUCUGGGGAGCUGCACAUCGUUAUAGAGACAGGCACUUUGUGAAAUUCUGCUGCCAAGCACAAAUGAGCAAACGUGGUUUCCUAUGUUUACUACUUUGUCUCACAAAGCGCACAUUCACAGUGCAUUAUUAAGGGGCCCUGGCAGCACCGCCACAGUGUAUCUCUGCUCCCUCUUAAAGUUCCCCGUGCCCCUUGGCAGACAGGCCCCUCUCACUCCUGGGCCCAGGCUACCAUUGACCAGCUUUUUGCCACUAGAGGUUAAUUUUCAUUCUAUGUGAUUGGAAUCAUACAGAUGUUCUUGUAUCUGACUUAUUUCACUCCACAUAGUGAUUCUGAGAUUCAAAUGUUGUGUGUAUCAGUUGUUUGUUCCUUUUUAUUCCUGAAUGGGAGAGGGGAUGUCAAGCUGCACAGUUUUAUUCCUGGGCUACAGUGGAGAUGGAUGGUUCUACCGUCUCUCUGAAACACCAUCUGCAGUUUCUUCAAAAUCUACCUACACAUCUUCCAUCCCAUCCUGAGGAGUCCCCGAGGGUUGAGAAAUGCAUGACCCCACACCUGGCUGACGUGUACAACUGGCGGAGUUAGUUUUUCCUGUUGACACUGGCCACGGGCGCCUCAGCAUGCACAGCCCUGGCCUUGCUCCUCUAGGCAUGCUGGGGGCUUGUCCACACGUGUGGUCUACGGAUGGAGGAGAGUGGCCUCUGGCCCAUGCGUGCCAUGCACUGGACCUUCCCAGGGAAUCAAGUUACAUGAUGUUUCCUUGAGGAGCUACAUACAAAGUAAAAAACUGAAAUCAAGAAUAUCAGUCAUUUCUGAAUAUGCCAAUUCGCCCAUGGUGCAGUUUGUACAGCUUAAUCACUGCAGAACAGUUUUGAGGAUAAAAUUAACCAAAAACCUAAGUAGACAAAAUAUUCAAAUUUUUGGAAUCUGUCACAAAAAUCCACAGAUGACUUAUUUUCCAUUGUAGCUUAUAAUGUCCAAAAGCCUUUCUAGUGACUUAUAACUGAUGGUGAGCUCCCACUCUGUGGCAGCUGUGGGACACUGGUCUAAGGACUACACCCUGAUGCCUGGUGAGUUACAGAGGCCAUGAGAAGAUGUCAGUGAACCUGAAAGCCAGGGAGAGGCUGUGUUCCUGCCGGACUGUGGGGCUCCUUCGCUCCCCUGCUGUGGCCCUUGGUCAGGCCACUUUCCCUCUCUGGGUGUCAGUGGCUUCAUCUACGAAGUGAUAAAAAACUAAUGCAAACCAGAGCAAAAUGAGAUAACACGGGGACCCCUAAUGUCCCAGGGAGAUGGUGAACUGAAGCACCGCGUGCGGUGAGUUGUUGCUGUCUCCACCCCUCAAGGAGACCGCAGCUUUGCAGACGUGUGGGUCCCAUCAUCGGCCCCAUUCUACAUUCCUCCCUGUGUCCCUGCCAUCGCCAGGUGACUUUGCUGGGCCCUCCCACCGCCCUAACUCCCAAUCCCAAGAUCUUCAGUGAACGUGACGCGCACAGCAGAGGCCCAGAAUGUAUGUGUGCAUGUGGUGACAGCUAAGCCUGCCUGGAGCAGAGCCCCAACCCUGCAGCAGCUCAAACAAGCUGAGAUCAGCAAAUGCACAUCUGACUCUCAGACAUGGGGGCAAUAAUAAUAAAUGCUGUUUGAGUUUUGGGGUCUUUGGCUACACAGCAAUUGCUCACCAAUAUGACAGGGUUGUAUGACGUGGCCAUGCGGAACUGUAUUAUA